CCUGUGAUAUUGUGUUGUGCCUCGUAGCCUAGCAUCACACAUGACCUAAGUUACACAAGGUGUUCACGGUGUGUCAAGUUAAGUUUUCACUUCAGCAAAGCACUCAUGGUUAGCUGUUCAGGAUCGUUUUUGCUGUUAUUUUGAUAUCGAAACGUUGCAUGUUUAAUUCAAAUAUCUCAAAUGCAGCAUCUGUUUAUGAAACAGGAAGAAUGUCUGAAUGUUUACAAAGCAGGGGGAAUGUGAGCAUCCUCAGAGCUCCAGACAAAGCUGCAGAAACCAAUAAUUAACAUGUUGCUGUGGAAACUUAUUGACCAACAUGAGACAAAACAAAAUGCAAGCAAAGUCCUCAGAGUCAUGGGAAGAUGUGGUUAAAAAAUACACAUAGUGUGUGUUUUUAUUUGUUUUAAUUAGGUUAUAUAAUCUGACAGUCACGUGAUCUAACACAGUGUCUUGAUAAAAGAAAGGUUUUUGUCUUUCACUCUGCACUGUCUUUACUCUUCCUCAUGAACACACAUUCAGCAGCAGACGGCUUCAUCUGGUGGCAGCGAGGAACUGAAGGAACUCAAACAUGAUGGAGUCUGUGAUCAACCUCCUGAAUACAUUUCACCUUAAAGCUGGUGGAUUGUCAGUGACUCUCAGCCUCUUCAUCAUCUUCCUGGGUCUCCUCUACUGGUAUUCAGUUUACCCCUUUUCUGUACUUUCUCGAUGUGGCAUCAAACAUCCAAAGCCCGUGCCUUUCUUUGGAAACAUAUUCAUCUUUCGCCAGGGGUUUUUUGAACCUAUGAAUGAACUGAUAAAGACACACGGGAGAGUCUGUGGGUAUUAUUUGGGCCGGACACCGGUGGUUGUGAUCGCAGACCCGGAUAUGCUCAGACAGGUGAUGGUCAGAGACUUCAGCAGCUUCUCCAACAGAAUGGCUUUUAGCUUCGCCACCAAACCCAUGGCCGACAGUCUGCUCAUGUUGAGGAACGAGCGCUGGAAGACAGUGCGGAGCAUCCUGACCCCGUCGUUCAGUGCUGCCAAGAUGAAAGAGAUGGUCCCUCUGAUCAACACAACCAUCAACACUCUGAUGAACAACCUUGACAUCUACGCUGAGUCAGGAGAGGCCUUCGACAUCAACAAGUGUUUUGGCUGCUUCACCAUGGAUGUCAUCGCCAGUGUGGCAUUUGCGACUCAGGUGGACUCUCAAAACAACCCCGAUGACCCGUUCGUCAGGCACGCACAGAUGUUCUUCACCUUCUCUUUCUUCAGGCCCAUCAUGUUGUUUUUCCUUGCCUUCCCGUUCAUCGCCGCUCCUCUGGCAGCACUCAUCCCAAUCAAACGACGAGACAAGAUGAACAAGUUCUUCAUCAACUGCAUUCAGAAGAUCAUCAAGCAGAGAGACGAGCAGCCUCAUGAACAGAGGCGUCGAGACUUCCUCCAGCUGAUGUUGGAUGCACGAACCGACAGGGAGAGAGUGUCUCUGGACCAGUUUGACUCAGCGACUCAUGCCGAGGCGCUCGAUAACAGGAACCAGCGGACACAAGCCUCCGACCAGGACGAGCAAGCCAGCACUCACGAGUCCCCCGGCAGGCAUCAGCAGAGAAAGAUGAUGACGGUUGACGAGAUCGUCGGUCAGGCUUUCGUCUUUUUUCUGGCAGGGUAUGAAUCCAGCAGCAACACGCUGGGUUUCACCUGCUACCUGCUGGCUCUCCACCCUGAAUGUCAGAGCCGGGUUCAGAAGGAGGUGGAUGAUUUGUUCACCAGACAUGACUCACCAGAUUACAAUAAUGUCCAGGAGCUGAAGUAUUUAGAUAUGGUCAUAAGUGAAGCGUUGCGUCUCUACCCUCCUGGGUUCAGGUUUGCGAGAGAGAUCGACCACGACUGUGUGGUGAACGGCCAGUUCCUCCCCAAAGAAGCAACAAUAGAGAUCCCAGCUGGCUUCCUUCACUACGACCCCGAGCACUGGUCGGAGCCAGAGAAGUUCAUCCCUGAGAGGUUCACUCCAGAGGCCAAGGCCAGCCGACAUCCAUUCGUCUACCUCCCGUUUGGGGCCGGUCCUCGUAACUGUGUUGCGAUGAGGAUGGCUCAGCUGGAGAUCAAAAUGGCUCUGGUGCGUCUGUUCCACAGGUUCAACAUCGUGGCCUGCUCAGAGACCAAGGUUCCUCUGGAGCUGAAGUCUUCCAACAAUCUCGGACCAAAGAAUGGCAUUUUUGUGAAACUUCAAAGAAGAGACCAAGUGAAUCCUGCAUCAGAAAAUUAAGAAUGAAAUACGGUGGAGGAAUGUUCUUGACCUUCUUAAUCCCUGCAUAUGGUUUCUGUAUGAGUAGCUGCUGUUUGUUGCAUUCAUUUUAAUAUUCCCUCUAUGACUGAUGGUUAAUAAACUGAUUAUGAAUCAUACAGUCACAGAUAUUGACAGCAGAGGCUGACAUCAGCUCAUGUUAUUAGAGGACGGACCUCUGUCACCUGUGUUACAAUGUGUUGCUGAUUUAAUUCAAAUUUACUGAAAACGUUUUGCACUCACCUGAAAGCUGCUAUGUUAGAGGUUUGUGGAAAGGACAGGAAAUCCACUUUGUAAUUUUAAUCCAGAUUACUUGAAUCUGUUGAUCAAAUGUGUCAGAAUAAUGAAUAAAGUGAAAGCUUCUUAUCACUUUUCUUUUGAUGAUGUGAUUUAUAAGUUUGAAGUUGAACAUGUAUUUGAUCCUGUGUGUGGGAGUUGCAGAGGACUGAUUGUAUCUGUUGGACGUUCAGAACUGGUUGUUUUGUGGUGAAUUAAAAAAAACAUACCUUGA
RNA transcript from Notolabrus celidotus (New Zealand spotty), 2771 nucleotides. It is a transcript of the gene named thromboxane-A synthase-like, with no coding region annotated. Lineage: Eukaryota; Metazoa; Chordata; Actinopteri; Labriformes; Labridae. The record is from RefSeq and is a predicted model, not a curated record. The transcript has 14 exons.